RNAcentral lists this ribosomal RNA (433 nucleotides) under uncultured bacterium. RNAcentral describes it as "partial 16S ribosomal RNA". It matches the Rfam family "Bacterial small subunit ribosomal RNA", at positions 29 to 507 of the family's 1533-position model. The record is from RNAcentral.
AACGAACGCUGGCGGCAUGCCUACCACAUGCAAGUCGAACGAUCCCUCCGGGGAUAGUGGCGCACGGGUGCGUAACGCGUGGGAACCUGCCCUUCGGUUCGGAAUAACUCAGAGAAAUUUGAGCUAAUACCGGAUAAUGUCUUCGGACCAAAGAUUUAUCGCCUUUGGAUGGGCCCGCGUUGGAUUAGCUAGUUGGUGGGGUAAAGGCCUACCAAGGCGACGAUCCAUAGCUGGUCUGAGAGGAUGAUCAGCCACACUGGGACUGAGACACGGCCCAGACUCCUACGGGAGGCAGCAGUGGGGAAUAUUGGACAAUGGGCGAAAGCCUGAUCCAGCAAUGCCGCGUGAGUGAUGAAGGCCUUAGGGUUGUAAAGCUCUUUUACCCGGGAUGAUAAUGACAGUACCGGGAGAAUAAGCCCCGGCUAACUCCGUG